UGUUAAGCUUUUCGCUCUCCGAAUACCACCUGCUCCAUUACCACACGCUGCUUUCUUUCUCUUCUUCUUCCUCAUCGCGUCACCUCCUCUAGUUCGCAACUCGCAUCUGCUUUCUUUUGAGUUGGUGUUCGUAGUAAGAGGAGGAAGCUGAAGAUGAGCGAUCCCAAGUACGCGUACCCUUACCCGGCGCAGGGCUACUACCAGGGCCCGUACCAGGGGCCUCCGGUGAUGGCGCCGCCGCAGUACGCCGCGCCGCCGCCCAGGCGGCAGCCUAGUUUCCUCGAAGGCUGUUUGGCUGCGCUUUGUUGCUGCUGCUUGAUCGACGAGUGCUGCUGCGACCCGUCGAUUAUAUUCGUCAGCUAAGGAUGCAUCCAUCGAUCGACCUGGCUUGGCCUCAGGUCGCAUCUAUUGUACAGACACGGCAGCACGGCUUGAUCCUCAAGUCCUCAUCAAGGAUGCAGUAUUAAUCUGCUUCUCGAAUUGUUUUAUGCCAGCUUAUUGCUUACAGCUGCUGCUGCUUCCUAUAUAUAUAUGUACUGUGUCCUAUCAGUGUGAUUAAUAAACGACUGUGUCCUCCUUUAAUUACU
Molecule: small RNA, 587 nt
Filed under: Oryza sativa Japonica Group (Japanese rice)
Lineage: Eukaryota; Viridiplantae; Streptophyta; Magnoliopsida; Poales; Poaceae
Description: sRNA OsFbox176
Source: RNAcentral